AAUACGAACACCUUAUCAUUCACUACACACUGCACCAAAACACGAUAGUAUACCCUUACUAAAUUCUUACCAUACACCGCAUAAUUCACAUGACCAUAAUAACAUCCUCCGAUAACAAUAGCUGAAAUUUCACGAAUCUGAUGCCCACAAUACACUUCAUGACACGUAUAAGUCAUGUUCCGACUCGUGCAAUACUGCCACAACGGAGGAGAUGUGUAGAAAUUCAUAACCAACUACCGAGUCAACAAAUCAUUGGGUUUCUUCUCUUGACAAGAACCAUUACCUCAUUAUGAACUAAUAACGAUAUUUGCUCCACAAAAGAUAAACACAUUCAACAGUCAAUCAAGAAUUCUUUAAGGAGCAAUUAUCCAAGAAAUGUAAAUUCUCAUUUAACGGUCAAGAAAAAUGAAGUUUAACCUUUUAAAAAUUCAUUUACCAAGUUCAAUAUGUUUUAAGCAAUUAAAUUACUAAUAAGGCAGCAAAUAUCGCAAGUAUAGCAUGAUUUGGGUCCUAAACUACCCGUACAUGAGCAUAAUAGUAGCUACGCACGGACUCUCGUCACCUCGUGCGUAUGUAGCCCCCACAAAUAGAAUCACAUAUCAAAUUAAUUCACCUAUGGGGUUAAUUCCCUAUUACAAGGUUAGAAAGGAGACUUACCUCACUCCGAAAAUUCCAUAACUGGCUCCCAAGCCCUUUCAACAACUCAAACUGAUGCCCAAUGCUCCAAAACUAGUCAAUAAAUGUGUAAACUCAUACAUAAAUACUCUAAUGAUCAUAAUAAUUCAAUUUACAACAAUUCCUAACUCUGCUUGAAAAGUCGAUAAAAAUUACCCUCGGGCCCACGUGCCCGUUUUCCGAAAAUUUUCGAAGAUAAACUUUACCCAUGACACCACGAACUCAAAUAUAUAAUUUAUUCCAAAUUUCAUGUCCAAUUUCGUGGUCAUAAUCCAAAAAUAUCCAUUUCUAGGUUUUCUACCAAAAAUCCCAAAUUUCUACAAAUUUUCAAGUCUAAAUCCAUAUAUAAUCCAAGUAUUUAACUUGCAAUAGGUGAAAAUCACUUACCUUGACAUAGCUGACAAAAAUCUCCUUCCAAGAGCUCCAAAAAUCACCCAACCAAAUGAAAAGUGGAGGAAAAUGGCAAAAUCUCAUCUUUUAAAAGAAAUCUCACUGCCUAGGCGAUUUUCGCACCUGCGGUGCCUUGGCCGCAUCUGCGGUCCUGCACCUGCGGCAAAUGCCUCGCAGGUACACCUUUCCCUCACCUGGCCGGGCUCCGCAUCUGCGGACAAGGAGGGCCGCUUCUGCGAGCCUAGCCGCACCUGCGACCAUGUCUCUCGCACCUGCGUUCACGCAGGUGCGCCCAAUCUUCCGCAUUUGCGAAUUCUGGGUUGCCCUCCAUUUCUCGCUUCUGUGGCUCGUGGCUCGCACUUGCGAGCCCGCACAUGCGGCUCUUUUUAUGCAGGUACGAUUGUACCAGGUACCAGCUGCCUCAGCAUUUUUCUUAGUCCAAAAAUCAAUCAGUUAAGUAUCCGAAACUCACCCGAGGCCCCCGGGACCCCGUCCAAUCACACCAACCAGUCCAAUAACAUAACAUGGACCUGCUCGAGGCCUCAAAUCACAUCAAACAACAUCGAAAUCAUGAAUUGUACCCCAAUUCAAACUCAAUGAUCUUUGAAACUGUAAACUUUUACAAUCGAUGUCGAAACCUAUCAAAUCACGUCCGAUCGACCUCAAAUUUCAAAUACAAAUUCACAUUCGACAUUACGGACCUAUUCCAACUUCGGGAAUUGGAAUCCGACCCCGAUAUCAAAAAGUCCACUCCCGGUCAAACUUCUUAAAAUUAUCUAAAUUUCCAACCUUCGCCCAAAUGACCCCAAAAUGACCUACGGACCUCCAAAUCCACUUCCGGACGCGCUCCUAAGACCAGAAUCAUCAUACGGAGCUAUUUCCAGACUCGAAAUCCCAAACAGACGUCGAUAACAUUGAAAUGCACUUCAACUCAAAUUUAUGAAAUUCUUCCAAAAUACCAACCUUCCACAAUAGGCACUAAAACGCUCUCGGGUCAUCCAAAACUCGAUCCGGACAUACGCCUAAGUCCAAAAUCAUCAUACGAACCUGUUGGAACCUUCAAAUCUCGAUUCCGAGUUCGUCUACUUAAAAAUCAUACUUUAGUCAAUUUCUCCAACAUAAGUCUUCCGAAAUUAGAAUUUUCUUUCCAAAUCAACUCCGAACUUCCCGAAAUUAAAUUCCGAACACGCGUAGAAGUCAUAAUACCUGAAGUGAAACUGCUCAGGGUCUCAAACCGCCGAAUGACGCACUAGAACUCAAAACGACCGGUCGGGUCAUUAUAAUUUUGGUAUAACUUUUUGACAAGUUAUUCUUUUAUAAAUAUAUUCGGUAAUAACGAACUAUUUGAACUUCUUUUUGGUUUAAGAGUCUUUAUUUAUUAAUAAAACUUUACACAAUUUCAUAUACCCAAAUAUUUCUAUAAAAUAAGCUCCGGCUCCAGCUCCGGCUCCAGCUUUUCAUCAUCAAAAUUUUGUCUUGUUCAAGCAACAGUUACAAAAUUAAGUGUUUGUGGUUCUCUUUGACGAGCAAAAAGUUUUUGUGUUAGUUGUUAAUUUUGCAUUCAUGUAAUUGUAUUAGUAGUUGAAUUUUUUUCGAUAUAUUUGUAAACUUUGUAUUUGUAUUUAUAUUUACAGUAUUUGUAUUAAUAGUAGUUAAAUUUUAAAUUCGUGUAUUCACCCAAUACUAUCUUUAUUUUAGUCUUCUUUAUUGUGAAGCUUGGUUAAAUAGUUGCCUUUUUUGCAUUAGAUCGUGUGCUUCAACCUUUUGUCAAUCUAUUUCUUCACUAUUUUGUUGCACUCGCAUUAAAUCUUAUAUUUGUGUUGGUUAUCCAAUUUUAUAUAAGUUUUUAAAUAGAUUUCAUAUCGAACAAAAUUAUAAAUAAAAUCUUUUACUUAAUAUUUUAGAAUAAACCAAAAUUUUAGCUAUAAACUUUUCCUUAUUUGAACUAAUUAGGGAGUCCUAAUAUUUAGUAACUUAAAAUUAUUAAGAUUUUUUCUUACAUAAUUUUAUUUUAUUUGAACUAUAUAAAACACCUAUAAUUUAUUUUAAAAAUUUAUCAGUCGAAUUUAACAAUAAUGGACUGUGAAUUCUAUAUGUACUUUGGUUUGUAAUGGAGUGUGAAAAAAAUCCUUCCCUUAUAGUUAUGUGGCCAAUGAUUUUGUUACUUCGAGUUCAUGCACAAAUAAAAACUAUUGCCUAAGAAACAUCAAAGAAAGGAUAUAACAUAGUUCUUAGUUCGGAUAUUAAAUAUGUUGGAGAAUCAAACUUCUUUAAAAAGAUUUUUACGUUAAAACUUUAAAUCUUCAAAGUUCUUUUUUCUUGCUGAAAUUUAAAAAAUGAUAACUUGUGAAACUUAAAUAAUUAAAUUAUAAAAUUAAAAUUAAUUUUAAGUUACAUAUUGAUUGAGAUGAUAGUAUAUUUUUGGGAUAGAUUUUCUCCCUUUAUUGAAUAACUAAAUAAUAUUAAUAAUUAAUCAUUUUAGCAACUUAAUUAUACUUUUAAAAUUUUACCUUAAAAAUUAGCAUUGAUUGAGAUGAGGUACACGCGCAAUAUGUGUAUCCCAAGACUAGUACAUAUAAACAAAAAGAGGUGCCCUCUACUCUAGACUAAGGUUGGAUCUCCCAAUUGAAUAAUUUAUUAUAUAGAACUGUAUAGGGUAAAAUAUGUUCAUACUAAAUGCUCGCAUGAUAAAGCGACACGUGGAGCCAAAGAUAGAAGGCAAUCAGGUUUGAAGGCAACGAUCUUGUUUGUUUCCAAAGGAAAUGAUGUUCAUGAAGGUGAAACUAGCCAACCGGUAGCAUUUAAUGGAGAAUAUUAUAUAGCAUUAAGUACAUAGAUCAUUACAGAGAAUAUGACAUUCACUGCCUACCGUUACACAUUCUUCAAUGGCCUUCAUAAUUAUCAUUAAAGAGGGGCUUGAUCUUAGGACCUUGUUCCCUAUGUGCAAUUAUAAAUAGUGAGCUCAACAACUAUUAUAAAGAACAAGAAUUUUCUGACAAGCUCAUACUAUACUCUAUUCAAAAGCUCAAUAAUAUUUUAUCUUCUUGCUUAUUAAUAUUGUUACUACUGCCUCCGAAAGCUCUGCUCCCGGGAUCAGAAUUUCUGUUGCUUUGUCUCGAUUUCAACGCUAAGUCUUACAUUCUUGUUCAAUUUAUUUAUUAUUUUGGGAUCAAAUCAAUUCACUUGUCUAUAAACCACAUAUAAAUUCAAUUAUACCAUUUUACGGGUAAACAGUUUACGUCCACCGUGAGGCUUAGACAGUUGUGUAAUUGAGUUGAUCCUUGCAUCUAUUACUAACCAGUUUGAUGUUUUAUUCUUAGCAAAAAACAUAGAAAAUGACAGAUAACGAUGUCAACAUCACAGACAAUGUUGAGAUCCAAGGAAAUCAACCUCAGCACGAAGAUUCGAUCAGUGAUACCCACAAUAAGAGGGAUGAGGCCAUGUCAGUUCAUGACGGGCAAUAUCCACGACAUGGUCGAGAGGUAAUUCCUGAUGAUGCUGAAGACGAGUACGUCGUUGAAACAUUAAGGAUCCUACGGGAGCAACAAAAGGCCAUUAUGGGCCACCUCUCAUGACAGGAUUAGGUCAUGACAGAGUUGAGGCAUGCAUUGUCGGGUGCUUCCAACAAUGCGAAUGGACGAGCUCCAGUUCCUCCAGGUGCUCCCCCAAAUCAAAUAACGUAGAGGGUCGAACAAUACCCCGAAGGGCGAAGUUGGCUUCGACAGGUACAGGGGGAACGGUAGUGGAUCCGGUAAUAACAAUGAGAAUGAUCCCUUUAAAACCGAACUCAUACGGUUUAUAAAGGAAAUAAACACCCGAAUGGAUCAGAUUCCGAGCAUACCACUAGUGUUGAAAGGACAGGACUCAAAUAAAUACACCCAAUUGUCGUUCAAACCAAGUGCGACACUAGGGUUAAUCCCGAAGUGAUUCAAAAUUCCAGACGUGCCGAAGUACGAUGGGACUUCGGACCCUCAGGAGCACAUCACCGCCUAUACAACGGCGAUGAAGGGAAAUGAUUUAGCUCUGCAUGAGAGUGAGUCAGUCUUACUGAAGAAAGUCAUGGAGACCCUCACGGAGGGAGCCCUGACAUGGUAUUCUCUCUUGCCCGAGAACUCAAUAGAUUCCUUCAAGAUGCUCGUGAAUUCUUUUAUCACGGCCCAUGCCGGGUACAGAAAGGUACAAGCCCGAAAGGCCGACAUAUUCAGGACUGCACAAGGAGAGUCCGAAUUGCUGAGAGAGUUUGUGACCAGAUUUUAGAAAGAAAGGAUGAUGCUCCCGGUCAUACCAGACGAAUGGCCAGCAGAAGCAUUCACUAAAGGGCUGAAUCUGAGAAGUUCCGAUGCUUUCUGAAAAUUGAAAGAAAGUGUGCUCGAGUUCCAAGAAAUAACAUGGGUAGAUAUUCACAACUGGUACGAGUCAAAGAUAAGAAUUGAGGAUGAUCAGCUUGGUUUCCCAACAUCGACCAAGGGUCGGGACCAGGAGAAGAAUAAGGACAAAUCAAAGGAUGAUUUUGACACAGAUCGACGGUCUUCAAGGGGUCGAUUUUUGCCAUAUAAACGGGCCGAAGGACGCGGUAGAGGUUUCUGAUCAACGGAUAUAUUCGCUAGCUAUAGGAGAGCGGACUACAGUCGGAAUAAUAGAUCACUACAAGACAAGGAGAUAUUGGGUUCCCGGGAAUCCUCUUACCCCAGGCUAUCCGAGUACAACUUUAACGUCAGCGUAGUGAAUCCAGUGUCGGCUAAGAGGAACAUUAAGAAAGCACGGUUCCUAAAGACAAUGAGAUCUGAUCCCACUCAAAGGGAUCCUAAUUUAUGUUGCGAAUACAAUGGGACCAAUGGCCCACGGACAGGGGACUUCCGGCAUUUGCGCGAGGAGGUGGCAGCAUUGCUAAAAACGACCAUCUCAAAGAAUUCUUAAGCGAUCGGACUAAAAAUAAUUACGGCCGCAAUCAUGAUAACUCGGAACCUUCAAAAGCAGGAGAAGACCCCUNNNNNNNNNNNNNNNNNNNNNNNNNNNNNNNNNNNNNNNNNNNNNNNNNNNNNNNNNNNNNNNNNNNNNNNNNNNNNNNNNNNNNNNNNNNNNNNNNNNNNNNNNNNNNNNNNNNNNNNNNNNNNNNNNNNNNNNNNNNNNNNNNNNNNNNNNNNNNNNNNNNNNNNNNNNNNNNNNNNNNNNNNNNNNNNNNNNNNNNNNNNNNNNNNNNNNNNNNNNNNNNNNNNNNNNNNNNNNNNNNNNNNNNNNNNNNNNNNNNNNNNNNNNNNNNNNNNNNNNNNNNNNNNNNNNNNNNNNNNNNNNNNNNNNNNNNNNNNNNNNNNNNNNNNNNNNNNNNNNNNNNNNNNNNNNNNNNNNNNNNNNNNNNNNNNNNNNNNNNNNNNNNNNNNNNNNNNNNNNNNNNNNNNNNNNNNNNNNNNNNNNNNNNNNNNNNNNNNNNNNNNNNNNNNNNNNNNNNNNNNNNNNNNNNNNNNNNNNNNNNNNNNNNNNNNNNNNNNNNNCAAAGGAAGAUGCAGAUGGACUACUGUUGUUGCACAACGAUGCCUUGGUAAUCUCUUUAAAUGUCUUAGAUUUUAAAAUUAAACGUAUUUUGGUUGACCUAGGAAGUUCGGCCAAUAUUAUCUAGUGGAGAGUGCUGGAGCAAGCCAAGCUAAUAAAAAGUAUCGUUCCGUCCACAAAACUCCUCGUCGGGUUUAAUCUAGAAAGCGUGACAAACCGAGGAGAGAUCCUGCUGCCCAUAAAUGUUGAGGGGGUGAUGAAGACGACCCUUUUCAAGGUAAUUGAUGGCGAUAUGAGCUAUAAUAUUAUCUUGGGGAGACCAUGGUUACAUGAGAUGGAGGUUGUGCCAUCAACAUAUUAUCAGUUACUAAAGUGCCCGACUACCGAGGGGAUUAAACAAAUAAGAGGAGACCAACCUACGGCAAGGGAGAUAAACGCAAUCUCAAUUUCCAGUAGCAAAGGGAAGGAAUGUGCAAAAUAGCAAUUAUAGGAACUGGCGCCUGCUCCCAAGCCGAGCGUAGUCAACCAGGGGGAGGAGUCGUUAGAAUCUAUCAGGUAUCGAGAUAUUUCCAGAUACCAAAAGAAACGGACGCAAUAAAAUCCACAGCAGAAGAACAUGUGCAAGUCGUGUUGUUCGAAAGGUUCUUGGAGAGAAAGUUCAACUUGGGGACAAGACUUAAAGUUGACUAUUUUGUGUGGUCGCAUGCAGAUAUGACAUGUAUCCCAUCAGAAGUGUCAGUGCAUAAACUAAGCCUACAGGAUCCCUCCGGUAAGACAGAAAAAAUGUCAUAUUGUCAAGGUCAGAAACAAAUUCGUCAAAGAAAAGGUAACUUGUUUGCUUGAUAUCGAUUCAAUCCGAGAGGUAAAGUAUCCUGACUAGCUAACUAACGUAGUAAUAAUUCCAAAGAAAAAUAAUAAAUUUUGCAGUAGACUAUAAGGAUAUAAAUAAGGCAUGCCCCAAAGACUCGUUCUCAUUGCCAAAUAUUGAUCAAAUAAUCGGCGCGACAGCUGGGUACGAGUUAAUGAGUUUCCUCUAUACUUAAUUCGGGUACAAUAAAAUCAAUAUGAACCCGGAGGAUCAGGAAAAAACUUCAUUCAUAACGAAUUUUGGUGCAUAUUGUUAUAAUGUGAUGCCAUUCGGGAUAAAGAAUGCUGGUGCCACUUAUCAGUGGCUCGUAAACAAAAUGUUCGAGAAACAAAUAGGGAAAACCAUGGAAAUUUACAUAGAUGAUAUGCUAGUUAAGUAUUUGAACGCAUGUGAUCAUCUUAAACACUUGUAAGAAACCUCUGACAUCCUAAGAAAGUGCAACAUGAAGCUUAACCCCAAGAAGUGUACAUUCAGAGUUAGCUCUGGUAAGUUCUUGGUAUUCCUAGUGUCACAAAGUGGGAUCGAGGUCAUCCCUGAUAAAAUUAAAGCCAUUGAAGCCCGGACCAGCUAUCAAGCAUGAAAAUGGUUCCAAGGUAGUCAAGAAGACUGUCCGCUUUAAGCAGAUUCAUUUCCCGGUCUUCGAAAAAAUGCUAUCAUUUCUUUUCACUCCUCAAAAAGAAGAACAACUUGAAAUGGACUAUGGAAUUCCAGCAGGCUUUGAAAGAUUUGAAAAGGUAUUUGUCAAGUCCUCCAUUAUUGUCAAACCAAGAGGAAAGCGAAUAGCUAUUGAUCUACUUAGCGGCCUUGGAGGUAGCGGUAAGUGUCGUUUUAGUCCGUGAGGACGAAGGUACAAAAUCUCCCAUCUAUUAUGUUAGUAAAAUUUUAACGAGAGCAGAAAACCGCUACCCGACUCUUGAAAAAUUGGCCUUAGCUCUCGUAGUCGCCGCUCGAAAACUUAGGCCUUAUUUCCAAUGUCAUCUGAUAGUCGUGGUGACCACCUUUCCCCUACACAAUAUCCUUCAUAAACCUAAACUUUCAGGUACGCUGGCCAAGUGGGCAAUCGAAAUGAGUGAAUUUGACAUAGAGUAUAAACCUAAGACUGUAAUUAAGUCACAAUUUUUGGCUAACUUUGUGGCCGAUUUCAGUCCGGGAAUGUUACUUUUGGCUACCAAAGAAGCAGUAAUGGUGUCAAAAUCGACAUUAGGAGUUUGGGUUUUGUUCACAGAUGGGGCUUCCAAUGUGAAAGGGUUCGGGCUUGGCUUAAUGCUAAUCACGCCCUCGGGAGAAAUCCUAAGGCAGGCCAUAAGAACUGUUCCUCUGAAUAACAAUGAAGCAGAGUAUGAAGCUUUAAUUGCAGGACUCGAGCUAGCCUGGGGACUAUACUCCGAGGUCAUAGAAAUCAAAUGCAAAUCCCAAUUGGUAGUAAAUUAGGUCUACGGGAUCUUCGAAACCAAAGAGGAUGCAUGCAGCAAUAUGUAAUCAAAGUCCAGGCUCUGUUCGCGCGGUUCGGGGAAUAGUCGAUUACCCACAUACUGAGAGAAGAAAACAUGGAGGCAGACGCACUAGCCAAUUUGGGAUCGUCCACCAAAAUGAAGGGAUCGGACUCUAGUACGGUCGUGCAGCUUAUGCAUUUGGUAUUGGACGCAGACAGCUAUUACGAAGUAAACGCGACCAAUUUGGUCUGGGACGGGAGAAAUGAGAUCAUAGACUUUCUCGAGCACGGAAAAUUCCCUGAAGAUCCCAAGGCAUCUCGAGCACUGCGCAGUAAAACAGCUCGAUAUAGCUUCAAGGGAGGUCAACUAUAUAGAAGAUCUUUACAAUGCCUGUUGGCCCGAUGUUUGAAAGCUUCCGAAGCUAACUAUGUCAUGCGAGAAGUCCACAAAGAGAUCUGCGAAAAUCACUCAGGGGCGGAUUCCUUACUGUUAAAAUUAAUUAGGGCAGGAUACUACCGGUCCCGGAUAGAACAAGACACCAAGGCUUAUGUUCAGAUAUGUGAUAAAUGUCAACGCUACGCACCAUUGGUACAUCAACUGGCAGAGCUACUACACUCAGUUUUGUCACCAUGGCCAUUCAUGAAAUGGGGGAUGGAUUUAGUCGGUUCGCUGCCCUCAGCCCCCAGUAAGGUAAGUUUUCUUUUGAUUUUAACUGACUAUUUUUCUAAAUGUGUUGAAGCAAGUCCCUAUCAGAAAAUCGGUAAACGCAAAGUGGUAGAUUUCUUGUGGGAAAACAUAAUUUGCAGAUUCAAGAUACCAAAAGAGAUAGCCUGCGACAACGAGCCAUAGUUUAUAGGCGCAAAGGUCACAAAAUUCCUUGAAGACUUAAAAAUCAAAAGGAUAACAUCAUCACUCUAUCACCCGAGCGCAAGCGUUCAAGCAGAAUCAGAAACAAGGUGAUUAUCCAAAAUCUCAAAAAAAAUAUUGGAAGCAGCCAAAGGCAAAUGGCCCGAAGAGCUACUAGGAGUACUAUGGGCGUACCGAACAACGGCCAAAUCAAGCAUGGGGGAGAAUCCUUUCUUUCUUGUGUACGGAGCAGAAGCCUUGAUCCCGAUGGAAGUAGGAGAACCUACCAUGAGAUAUUUUCGGGCGGAUGAAGAAAGAAACAAUGAAACAAUGUUGAUCAAAUUGGAGUUGCUCGACGAACGAAGGGACUUGGCGCAUAUAAGGAUUGCAACCCAAAAAUAGAGAAUGGAAAGAUAUUGCAAUCGAAGAGCCAAUCUCUGUUAUUUCAAAGUAGGAGACUUAGUUAAAGGAAAGUAACUCAUAAUACCCGGGAGCUUAACACAGAAAAGCUAGGUCCAAAGUGGGAAGGCCCCUAUCGAGUUUCAGCUAUCACUAGGAAAAGGGUCAUACGAAUUGGAAAAUCAAGACAAAGUAAAGUUGUCGAGCAACUGGAAUGUGGCACACCUCAAAAGAUACUAUUGCUGAUGAGCCUCGCCUAUACUGAAAGUAUGUGCUACACUCUUUUUUCCUUCGCCCAGUUUUUGUCCCAAAUGCAUUUUUCUGGCAAGGUUUUAAAUGAGGCAGCAACAGAAAGCCUACCACGAAGGAAGCUUUGUCAGCAAAAAUAAGACCUUUAAAUGACAAGGCAUGCAAGAAAUGAGCUACUACAGAGCGGUUAGAUAGUCUUUUGCUCGGUAGCAAAGUUCCUACCGGGAAAUAAAAUUUGCUAUCGAGCCAAAGGUUACCCGACCGUUCACGAGUGCAAGUCACUGGGGGGAUUGUUAGAUAAUCUUUGGCUCCAUAGAAAAGUUCCUAAGUGGAAAUGAAGUUUGCCAUCGAACUAAAGAUUAUCUCACCAUUCACUAGUGGAAUCAUCAAAGAUGCAAGACUUCCAGUGUUCAAAUUCGCAUUCUUCGCAUUCGAACACUAGGGGGGAUAAUAUGAGAAUAUGACAACAAUGACUACCACAUCGACCGGGACUAUGAAAUCCGAAAACAAAGUUGUAUUAUCGGGACCGGGGACUGCGCGACCAGCCUUAUAGAAACAAGUUGUACAAGUUAGCCACAAAUAAUGGCAAUUUCUUUUUUAGCACAACGAAUGCUUAUGUACUUUUGAAAAUGAAAGGAAUAAAGUAAAUUCCUUUUAUUUUUAUCUUGUUUUUCGUCCUAUCGAUGAAUUAAUUUUAUCAUCUAAAAGUUAAACAAGUACUUCAAAUGCUAGUGUUGUAAUGAACAUGAGAUGUUCUCUUCAAGAGCACCGUAAAUAUAAGAGGGCCCUCUAUUAUAAAACCCUCACAGUAAAGGGUUGAUUCCGGAAGAACUUAUGCCCGGGAUCCAAAUGUUAUCGGGGAAAAAUACACCUAAAGCCUUGCAUAAUUCGACGCAAAGAGAAAACUUGUGCAAUACUCGAACGGAAAGUACGCAAAGAGAAAAACUUCCGCAAUACUUAAACGGAAAAAUACUUUUAUAUAAAACAUACGUGCCAAGCAGCAUAAGUACAAAAAUAUGGAAAGGAAAAGGAAAAGUGAAAAGAAGGCAAAAAGCUAAGCUACUCAAUCCGGAGGAAGGGAAGCAUUUGCACCCCAGGAGAUGUAGGCGGGUCCGCCGCCGACUCAAUAUCUUGUCCUUCACCAUCUUGGCUUUCAGCAUCAUCCUCUUCUGGUUUUUCUUCAAUUUCCCGGAACAUGAAACCAGAAUCAGAAGAGUCGGUAGCAUCAGGUUGAACUAAGAGACCCCUAUGGGCAGUUGACUUCUGCUCACUAGCCUUAAAGAUUUCGGCAUCAAAGUCAACGACGCCCGCUUUGGCCUCUUCCAAGGUUUUUUUCCUCAUGAUAUACAUUGAAUAUGUGUUUUCAACAAUGAGGGAAGCUGCUCGGCGCUGAAUUUCUUCCUUAAGACGGUCAACCUCGGUCAAAAGGUUAUCCCGCUCAGAUCUAGUGGCCUGGAGGAUGACAUCAAGGUCAUAGACAGUGGAGUUAAAAACUUUAUUGUUCUCCAUGACUCUCUUAUGCCUCUUUUCCAAUCGUACACACUUCUCCUCGGCAACAACAACCUCUUAAGCUUUGGAGUUCAAGGCCGCCUCCAAAUUAUUCAAUCUUGCAGUAGAGGAAGCCUCGCGAUCGGAUAUAGCAAGAAUGGCAUUCUGGACCUCAACCUACUUUGCCUUAGCCUUUUCAAAUUGUACCCUUAAUAGGGCAGCCUCUUGGCUGAGGGUCACUACCUCUUGCUCACUUUGCUACAACCGAACCUCCAACUCAACAGCCUCAACAGCUUGAGUUUCCAGUGUAGGAGGCGAGCAGCCAUUCAAUCCCGCUCGGCCAACAGUUGGUCUCGCUCAUAGGUAAGUUUCUCCUUGUCAAAGACCAACCUCUGAAGGCCCUCGGAAUUAAAGAAGUUAGCCUAUAAAACAAAAGUACAAAUUAAAAUCCCUACCAUUACAAAGAUAGAAAAAACAACAGAGGAAACAAAGAUGGUAUUGUCGCUGCGUUGUGCAUGGCAUUGUUCAAGAAACACUCUCCUGAGAGAGAUUGUAUUUUAUUCUUAUCCUUUUCUGAAGCCAGAGGCUUCAGUAAUUAGCAAGUUCCACCGGCCAGGACAGCAGAUGACAUCCGGUAGAAACCGAGAGAGAAACACUCUUCCUCCUCUGAGGAUCUUCAGAUGGGACAAAAUAAUUGCGCCCCAAAUUCCCAUAAACUAGGGAAGAGGGACAUCCUCCUCUCGGACGCCUGCGGCCGGUGGAGAUGAUGUAGUAGUUGCUGGAGGCAAAGGCAAAGUUGACGAAGAAGGAGAUGAAGUUGAUGGCGUUGUAGGUUGUGAAGCAGCUGCGGCAAAAAUAAUGCUAGUUGUUGGUUAGUCAUAAAUCGAAGACGGGAGAGACCCGGUACCCAGCCUCACGGUAUGACCGACUAGGAUUCGGAAGAGAGAGUGUGCAUCUUCCACCAUAUCAUAUGCCCCCCCCCCCAGAGCGUCGGGGCGUCAUCCUCGGUUAGUAUAACUAGCUCAACAGAGCAUUCUGUUAAAAUAAUAAAGGUCGUUGUCUUCUAUGUAAAGAAGCCCCUUCAUCACUAGCUCCUCCAUCAUUAUCGAUCACCAUAGUGUCUCUGGUUGGCUCGGGCGCGGUGCUCAUCACCACAGCGUCCGCGGAUUGCUUGGGCGCGGCGCUCUUCGCCUUUUUAUUUUUGCCCCCGGCCGUGGAGGAACGUCGCCUUUUUUGUUGCUUGUUCUCCGGUCGGGGACACUGAGAAGAAACACUUGCACUGGUAGAAGGCCCGGUGACACCCGUUCGGGUAAAAACCUCUUACAGCAACCUUGCAGAAUCAGCCUGAUCAGCCGAAUCAGCCAAAACGUCCUCCUCGGGGGCGGUAACAGAGCCCUGCGGAAGACCUGAAUUCAACAGGAAAGAAAGGUUAACUAAUUUUCCUAUACAAGAAGUAAAAACAAGAUAAGUUUAUCCUACCAUAUUUUUUGGCCUUCCACCCAUAUUUAAGGGCUAAUUCUUUCCACUUGCGGGUCCCAGGCGUAGUGACAUCCAGAAUCUUCUCGACCCACUGGUCCAAGUCUUCAACCCUAGGUAGUGUCCACCGAGUUGCUGAAAUAGUGAAAGAAGAAGGAUCAGUAACAACAUGAGAAAAUCUUUAACUAGAAGAAAAAACAAACGAUGAACUUACGAGUACGGUUCCAUAAUUCAGGAAAUGAUGGAGUUGUGGUCGGAAUGAUGUCUCUGGUGGCAACUACAAUGAACCGCUUCAUCCAUCUGCGGUCGUUGUCAUCAUCCAUGCUGGUUAGUAAAGCAUGGUGGCCACGUUUGCUGAAAUUUAUCAUUCCCCAGCGAAAAAUCUUGGGGAAAUAAAGGUUCAUCAGUCGAGCCAGGGAUAGCUCUUCUCCCGUCUCCUGGCAUAGACGCCGAAGACAAGCAAUAGUCUGCUACACAGAAGGGCUCACAUGUGCCAAGCAGACUUGGUAACGAAGGCAAAACUCUAAGAUAACGAAGUCAAGCCCCCUGCUCAAUGAGAACGGCCCCAAAGUAAAAGGAUACGUAUAAACAUACGUAAAACCCUUCUUGUAGAAGGUUACCAGCUCCCUCAAGUCAGGAGAGAUGAUGUUUAAAUCUUGACAACCACAAUCUUUAUUCACAACAAGGAUGCUAGAAGAGCGGAUGGAAGAGGGAUAUAUGCCAACAGCCCAUGUUCGAGGGUUUGCAGAAGAUUACUUCUCUUCAAAGUCCUUAGUUGCAAUAAGCUUUCUGGGAAUGAUGGUGCUCACCAUGGGAGUAGCAUCAUCAUCAGCACUUUCUUUGUUCUUCGAAGCACUUGAAUUUCUAGAAGAGGAGGCCAUUGUUAUCAUAAGAGAAUAAGGGUUUUUUCUCUGAAGAAGAAGAUUAGAGGAAGUGGAAAAUAAGUGUGAGUUGAGUAAAGAAAGUUUGAGAGACUUUGGAAAAUUAUGAAGUGUAAAAGGAGAAUAUUGAUGCGUAUAAGUAAAAGAAUAGGCGGCUAAAAUCGUGGUCAUAAUUACCUCGAUAACCGGCAAAAGAGUUGUUGAAUCAUGGGAUGAUGCAUUUUGGGGGCAUUAAAUGCGGAGAGACGUGUGUCUAAUCAACCGUCAAAAAUUUUUCAGAGGGGGUCAGAGAAUUUUCCGCCAAGAAAGAUAUCUUUACCAACUUCCCGGCGACACAAGGUUAUGCCAUCGGAAAGCGGGGGAACUAUAUGUAUAGGGUAAAAUAUAUUCAUAUUAAAUGCUCGCAUGAUGUGGAGCCGAAGACAGAAGGCAAUCAGGUCUGAAGGCAACGAUCUCGUUUGUUCCCGAAGGGAAUGAUGUUCAUAAAGGCGAAUUAAAUAUCUGCCACCCGGUAGCAUUUAAUAGAGAAUAUUCUAUAGUAUUAAGUACAUAGUCCAUUACAGAGAAUAUGGCAUUCACUGCCUACCGUUACACUUUCUUCAAUGACCUUCAUAAUUGUCAUUAAAGAGGGGCUUGAUCCUAGUACCUUGUUCCCUAGGUGCAAUUAUAAAUAGUGAGCUCAACUAUUAUUGUAAAGGACACGAAUUUUUUGACAAGUUCAUACCAUACUCCGUUCAAAAGCUCAAUAAUAUUUUAUCUUCUUGCUUAUUAAUAUUGUUACUACUGCCUCCGGAAGCUCUGCUCCCGGAACUAGGAUUUCUACUGUUUUGUCUCGAUUUUGACGCUAAGUCUUACAUUCUUAUUUAAUUUAUUUAUCAUUUUGGAAUCAAAUCAAUUCACUUGUCUAUAAACCACGUAUAAAUUCAACUAUACCGUUUUACGGGUAAAUAAGAACUUAUUUUCUUUUUUCGCUUAUAAAAGGAUAACAUAUUACAACGACUUAGUCUGAUUACAUACAAAAUGGGAGUCCAAAAUGGCAGUCUACAAUAGUAUUUACUUAUUGAACUUAUACAUAGGUUGAGUUGUGUGUGUGUGUGCGCGGUUUUUUUUUUUUUGGGGGGGGGGGGGGUUAGGGCAAAAGGAGGAGGAGAAAAUGAUGGCUUAAUUUUUUUAUAAAAGAACGAAUCUUCUAAAGUAGAUAUUAGGCAUAAAAAGGCCAUAAUUAGAGGUUGAACUGAUGUUUAGGAAAAGAAGUCGCGUGAAGGCCACAACUUAUAAGUGGCAAUCAAUUUGCUGCGGUAGUUACAUUCUAAAGUAAUUAUUUAGAACUCGCCAUUUUGGACUUGAAAACUCAGUUGACAGAAUUGACUAUUAAUUAAAGCUUGCAUUUUUUGACAACGGUGGUUGUGGCAUGCUUGGUUGAUUAGGUCAUUCAUCAAUGAAGCAGCUAUGACUACAAUCUAAUAUUAAAGGAUACAUUGUCGGAAGCGUGUUAGAAUUGUUGGGCUCAGUAAUUCUAUUUAAGAUUUUAAAGUCAUAUGUGCUUGCCCAAAAUAAUUCUAUAAGAAGAGAAAAAAGAGUUUAAUUGUGAGUGCUCACUCAGUACUUUUUUUUAAAAUUUAUAAUUGCCUAUAUAAAUCUAUUAAAUUUGAUUAAAGGCAAUGGGUGCUUAAGCACACAUAAUACUCCGGGUAGAUCUGCUUCUCGUUGGGAUCUCACUAUUUUUAAUCAGAGGUUAACUUUAGGAAUAGAAAACCUUUUGAUGUGAAAUAUUUUAUUUAUCUUGUUACCGAGUUUACUCAUCAUGAAUCCGAUAAAAAGGAUUAAAGAAUACCACUAGAUCGAGUGAUUCUAUUUCCGCUUUUAUUCAGGAGUGCUUCAUCUCUAAUGUGAAACUUUUCAACGUAAAUUCAAAUUUAAUCGGGCUCAAAUAACAAAUGAGAAACAAAAAGAGAUGGUAUUUAAUUGAAGACUCAUAAACUGCAUUCGUACAAUGAAUUAGGUACUAGUUAAUAAGGUUGCAUCUGUGGACCAUGCUGUUUUGGCACAUGCUAGGCUAGAUCCUUUUCUACUCGCAUGAAUUGCUUUCUACACCCAAAUGCAUGUGCAGUCCACAGGCCUGAUAUAUUAUAAGUUCUGAAAUAUAUGGGUUCGAGAUUUUAAAUCUUUUAAAUUAUUGAAUUUUAAAUUAAUAAUUUAUAAAUAUUAAUAAAUUUCUUAAGGCAAAACAUGGUUUGUAUUAAAGUUACUGGGUUCGGCCGAACCCAUAAUUUCUACCCUCCCUCCACCUCUGUCCAGUAAUAUUAGUGGAAGUUCAAGCCUUAACUAAUCCAUACUUAUUAGACAACAAUUUAUAUCUAUAGGUUUUUAUGAUUCAAACAGAAACAGAGGGAGUCAAGCGACAUUUUAGCAAGUCAUUUGAUAAACUUGUAGUGCUUUUCAUAGGAAAGGAUACAAAAUACAGGUAUUUUAAAAAUACUUUUAUAUUAGAACUAAAUUACUGCUGCAUAAUUAAACACUAUCGAUCUCUUUAUAUACCUCACAAGCAGCAGCUAGUUCCGUUUUGCUAGCCUCACAAAUAAUUAAUGUCAUUAAUUAUGUUAGCGACCAAGAUCAUGUAACAAGUAGUACCCUAGAUUAGGAUUGGAUCUCGUAAGUAAUUAGGGGUCGUAUCCUUACCCGAUUAGGAUUAUAAUCCAUUGUUGAUUGAUAUUAAUUAGCUAGUACCGCUACAAAUUUCUAAACUGAUCUUUUGGGAAAGGGAAUUUAUUUUUUCCACCUUCCAAAAAAAAAGAAGAUUAUUAUGAAAAGACAAGAAAAUAAAACGACUAUUUUCGAAAGACAAUAGUGUUGUUUUUCUUUUUGUUUUUUUGGCCAAAGUCAAUUUGCUGAUCAUCUUCUAAUAAAUUUAUUAAAAUUCACAUGCACCAUUUCGGACGUAGAAAUAGAAACUCAGUUCAGUCGACAUGGUUGAUAAGAAAAGCCUGCAUCUUUAGACCUUGGUGGUGUCACGUGUGGCUUUACUUGGUUAGGACAUUAUAUAAUUUAUCAACUGCUUAGCUAAUCAAGAUUCAUGUAGUAGAAGCCCAGCUAUAUAAAAGAGCAAUUCUAGCGAUUUUUAUCAAAGAGGACUUUAUUCUCAGGCAAUUACUAAGAAUAGGAAUGACAAAGUAAAAAAUCAAACAAAGGUCAGUAGUAACGUAACAGCAAGAAAUAUGUUCUAUAUUCAUCACUAAUUUACUAUGGAUUCCGAAUUAUUUGAUUUAAAAUGGUACUAAACGUCCAUUUUCUUGAAUACGUUACAUAUAUUUCUUAUGUAGACUUUGAAGUACUAUGAGAAGGUCCAAUAAUUUGACUUGAAUUUGCACAUAAGAGCAACCUUUAAUUUUGGUGUACUCUUAAAAGUGAUUACUAAAGCAGCUUAUGAAAUCUUGCAGUAGCCUUUUCCCUAUCCCUAUCCCUAUGUGUCUGUGAUGUAACUUUCUAAUGUCUACUAUUAUAACUAAAAAGUAAUUUUACUUAUAUACAACUGAUAUUGUGAAGAUUUUAUAUGCUAUUAAAUCUAUUUUGAAUGAACUGAUAGUGUAAAAUUAUUGUUAUACUGGUGAUAUAUAUAAGUUAAACAUUUAAAAAAAUUUGGAUUAUAAACUUGCAAUAUGAUCGAAAUACACCUUAAUAAUGCGAGAAGGGGGUUGUUGGGGAUCAUCUUCUUCUUCCUAUCCCCAAAAAAAAAAAGAGGAGAAGAAAGGAAUAAUUUCUCAUGUGGAAAAAUGAUUUGUUAAAAGCUUUUUUGUCUGAUCGAAAAGAACAAGGAAAGACAUUGUUGUAAAGCCAGAAUCCCAGACAAGUUAGGACUAACGAUUCAUUAAAAUUUGCACAACUCAAAUUAAAACACCUUUGAUUUAUGUCAAAUAUUAUCUAUUUUUCUCUUACUAUCUUACUUUUUGCUUUUCUAGUGUAGCCAUACAAAAAUAAUUUGCUUUCACGGAGGAAUUAUUGGCUGAAAAUAACUGAAAAUUGUAAAAUAGGAUGGUGUUUACCCUAAAAAAAAACGGAUAACAAUUGAAUUUAUAUAUGGUUUUAAUAUAUGCGGAUUAAUUCAAUACAAAUGAUAAAAAAAUGUUAGAAUAAACAGAUAAAGAACGUAAUAAAUUGUCAAACCAAUUAAGGAGAGUGACCUCGGACUCAGUAACAGCUUAAUGAAAUGCAUGUCUUCGAUCCCGGGCUCACACUAAUGAAGAACUGAUGAACAAAAGUAAGAACUUUGAAUAAUAGAGAAAAUAAGAACUCUGAAUAAUAGAAGAAAAUAAGAGUAUAUUGCCUUGAUACGCGCGUUACAAUAUCCUCUAUGAAUAAUAAGCUUUCCACUUUAUAUAGUAAGGGGUUUUUACCCUAAGUAUAAUUCUAAAAAAGGUAAAGAUCUUCCGUUUCGACGAUCACUGAUUUUUCGCCGAUACGAGCCGAGAUUCGCGCUGUGAUAUUCGGUUAGGCACAGAUAUCACGGCCAUUUGUUAGUCGUGUGCAGCUGCUUGGUAAUGCUUUCCGAAGUCUCAAUCCUUAAAUCAGACCUCGAGGAUAUGGCCCUAAUAUCCCCGAGGGCAGGUGUUUGCCCGAGCCCUGAUACGAGAAGUUCUUCGUUCUCACUCUGAUUCAUUAUGGUCACGUUCCUGCUUCGCUUGGCUCACCGGGAAGUCGAGUCAUGCAGCGGGCUCGGUUUUUCCUGUAAUUGAAUUCCUAGGUUAGGUAGAGAUACUAGUUCAGCCAUUUGAAAAUUUUGUAACCUAGUAAGUAAGUUCUUCCAAUCAAAAUCACACAAAAAAAUGGCACUUCUUGUCAUUUCUAUUCAAGAGGAAACAUGUGGACAUCCAUCUAACCACAAUUAAUGUAAAACAAACGAACAAACAGACACUAUCUGAUUAACGUUUGCAUUUUAUAGAAGUUCGUUUUUCCACGAUGGAUAUAGGAAAUGUUAGUAAAUUCAAGUGACCAUCCCAAAAAUAUUUAUUAUUGCCUUUUCCCAAUUUUAUGUUAUAUCCUUGCUUAAAGUGUCUUCUUACCUAACACUUUUAAUGUUGCAAUACAAGUUAGUAGCGUUACUCGAGAUGUCAGUAACGAGCUCACUCUUUUGGACGAGUAACUUUAUUUUAUAUAAUUCGUGUAACGUGAGAACUUAGAGAUAAGAUAUGUUUUCCAAAUAUAACUUUGUCUUGACUUAGUUGUUAAAUAAAUAUUUGUUGCCUUCAAACAACUAAAAAGAAAGAAUUGUUAUUAAAACUUAAAAGUACAAUUUUUAGAAUUCAGUUUCACUAUUAUAAAAAACCUAGCUAAUCCAAGAGUGAAGGUACCAAUUUUGUCGGCAAAAUGUAAAAAAAAAAAAUGCGACGCAUCACACUUUAAUUUAAUACCAACCAAAAUUCUUUUAUUGGUUAGCAAAAUUUUGGACUUGAAACCACAAUUAGGUAGGGGUAUUUUUCCCUUGAGCUAGUGAUUACAAGAAGAAAAUCCAAGAGAGGGAAUUAAAAUGAAAUAAAAUAUAAGGGGAAAAGCAGAAGAAGAGGAGAGAAAACAGUUGAUAGGGAGAAGUCCCAGAUGUCGCUGACAACUGCGCCUUCUUUUCAAAUCUGGCGGAGGUUCAUCGCAGCCUCCCCUAUAACUUGUCGUUCAAAAGUAUCCAUAUCCAAAUCCUCUCUUCUUAAAAGCCAUAGAAGAGCUGCCUCUCUCCGCUGCUAUUCCUCUUCUAGUGCUACAAGAAUGGCUGACGCUAACAUGGACGCUGUUCAGCGCCGUCUCAUGUUUGAAGACGAGUCUGUUCUCUUUUCUUAAUCCCUCAUUUGAUCAUUUUGGUUAUACUAUUUUUCCCAAAUUAAGGAAAUAUAAUUUCUAAGCUCCUCCUGUUAUUGAAAGAUAAGAUGAAAAAAUUAAUUUUCUACGAUACAGGAUUAGGUGAAUGUUGUAAAUGUUUUUUUUUUAAUUAUAUCUAAACCCUGGGAUAUGAAAGUCUAAAUAAUCUUGUGAUACUUGCUAAAUUGCUUGUUUUCUAGAAUUUUUACCACCAGGUGUUUGACGAAAUUAUUUAGAAAAGCAGUUCUAUUAUCUGCUUUCUAGCAAAUGCUUUUUUAAUCUGGAUCUAUGUACUUACUGGUGCAACCAUUUUCCAGCCCCCUUUUUUGCUAAGUUUAACACGUUUUCCACGUUUUGACUCUUGCAGAUGUAUUCUGGUGGAUGAGAAUGAUCGUGUUGUUGGUCAUGAUACCAAGUACAAUUGUAAGUUGUGCUUCGAUGUUUCUGUGUAUUGCUCUUAAUGCAAUAUUGUCUUACCUCUUUCGAAAUGUAUUUGCCAGACUGGCUAUAGUUCCUUUUGAUUGCUUUGAUUUUUCUGUGUUUUGCUCUUAAUGUUAUAUUAUCCGGAAAAGGACCAAAUAUACCCUUGUACUUUCGAAAAUGGUCUAAUAAUAACUCUUGUUAUACUAUUGUGCUAUACAUACCCUUCCCAUCAUGCUUUGGAACAAAUAUACCCUUAUUUUGGAUGGAGUGACACGUGUCAGCACCAAAUGAAAACGACCCUUUUUUUUUUACCCGAUCCGUUUUAAAAAACACACCACCCGACCCGUUUUAAAAUUCAGUUUUUUUAAAGCAUAUAUUUUGUAAAAUCUGGAUUUUUCUUUUUGUAAAAACUGGAAAAAAAAGGAAUUUUCAAAAUAUAUAUUUUUAAGUCUUUUCAGUUUUUUUUUAAGUAUUUUUUUUUGUAAAAACUGAAAAAAAAAAAAAUGCUUUAAAAAAAAGACUCUCCUAAAGCAGUGGACUACAUAUGCAUUAAUCUUUUAAAAAAAAACUGAAAAUAUUUUGCUAAAUCUCUUUUUUUUCAGUUUUUACAAAAAAAAUACUUUUAAAAACUUAAAAAACCGAAAAAUAUAUAUUUUGCAAAUUCCUUUUUUUUUUNNNNNNNNNNNNNNNNNNNNNNNNNAAAUAGGUCGUUUUCACCUUGUGCUGCCACGUGGCACUCCAUCCAAAAUAAGGGUAUAUUUGUUCCAAAGUAUGACGGGAAGGGUAUAUAUAGCCCAAUAGUAUAACGAGGGGUAUUCUUAGACCAUUUUCGAAAGUACAGGGGUAUAUUUGGCCCUUUGCCGUAUAUUAUCUUACCUCAAUACUAUCAAGGGAGUCUGAUGGUUAAAAGUUCUAGAAUUGUAUUUGAGAUAAGACAUGAGGCAGAUUUCAAUAUCUUGUUACCCUUAAAUGUGAGGUUGUUAUCCUCGUUGCUCUCUGCUCUCUAGGUGAUAGCACCUUUCCGAAAAUUACUACUAUGUGCAUAUCAAAUUGCUUAUUGUGGAAAUACAUCUUUUGUUAUUCUGCAGAUAUUUCGUGGAGACCUUCACUUAAUUUUGUUUUUGGACAAUCUUUUUCUCAUUAACUGUCUUGGUGAAUGUUACCUGAAUUGAUACUGGUGAUGCACUUCUUAAUUGAGCCAUGUUAAGUAAUUCUUGGGCCGUCUUCUUAUUUUUAGCUAUCUGAUAAACUAGAUUGCAUGUGGCUUAACUUGGUAUGGUGACCUAGCUAGAAAUUUAACUUUUUUCCCUGACAGCUUCUAAGAGUUAUGAUCUCUAGGGAGCACUCUCAUUGUAAUUGGAAUGAACGUCCUAUGAUUCAAUCUAAACCGUUUAUCUGUUUUUGCAUUCUUUUGUCCAAGAACAUUGGCGUCCAUCUCCCCAACAAGAUGACAGUGAUCUUCAUGCUUAUUCUAUAGUGGUUACCUAAUGCAAGCUGUUUUGUUGAAACAAGUAAUGCAUUUUCUUAAAAAGAUAUCUCCAUAAUUCAUCAGACUGUUCUCCAAAUUAGCCAGGUCCAAUCUUCUCCACCUCAAACACAAUAUUACAAUUGCUACAAGGAAACAGCAAUCAGAUUUAGUGGGUCUCUUUUCUUGAAAUAUUUGCUGAAAUGAUUGUGGACUGUUCAUCCAGAAGCUUAACAACCCAAAAAGAGAACUGUAGAACUUAGUAAAGAAAAUUCAAUACGAGGAAAAAAAACAACACAGAGAAAAGAGAGAGAGAUCUUUACAUAUAUGGUAACAAUGACAGGGAGAUAAACUUGGAAACCCAUGUUUAUGUAAAAUGCGCCUCGAAGAAAAAAUAAUUAGGUGGAGACAGGAAAAAUCAAAAAUAACAUUUUGGUUUCUUAAAUCUGAAAGACUUGUAAGUUCUAGCUGGCACUCCUGUCUUAAUUUUGAUUGGAGUGAGAAGCCCAAGAGAUCGGAACUUUAGCUUAUAAAGGGGUUAGCAAUCAAAUUCCUCAUGCUUGCUUAAGCUAAUAGAAAAAAAUGAGAAAUGGAGACUGGUGAAGAGGAAAAGUAUGCAUCUUUGCCUGCCUUGUUCACAUUUUUAAUAAAUUAAGGACUAUGGUUAUUUAUCUGCUGGCAAGUAAACAGUGACAGUAACAACAAAGGUUUAAAGGGUGAUAACUAUCUUGCUUUUAGCCAGUAAUAGUAAGAGAGUGAUAUGUUUAAUUCAACUCAGCCAGGAUAAGUUGAAGGAAAUGUUAGCUAAGUGAUGCUUCCGUUAGGUCUGUCUCAACGACCAUUUUCUCAUCUCUCCUUUUGCUUUUCCACCAUCUUCCAUUUUAAUGCCUCAUGCACAAACAAAGUCUUCGAGUACCUGGGAGCUUUUAGUACUACUGAUAGAGUACGACAUGCUAAUAUUUUGUCGUAAUAUGUUGUCAUGUCUACCAAUAUACAUGUUUUUCGCAUUAGAAAAACGAAUAUACCCUUUCAAAAGGAUGUUUAAAACCUUACGUCCCUUAAGUUAUUCUGGUAUCAUUGUUCUGGAAGUACCUCUUACAUCUAUCCACCAAGAACCUUAUGGCCUACCAGAAUUAAUUUGCUUAUUCUCCAAAGUUUAGUCAUUGUUGUCUUUAAAGCAAGAGGGGAGGCGCGAUUUUAUGCCCCUUUGACCAGAUUGUUGUUAAUAUGCUUCCACAUGUUGGUAGUUCACUUGAGGAUUCAUCAUGAAUUGGCAAGCUUUAUGCUGACUGUCAGCCUACCGCAACCCUCCUUUAUUCGGGCUUAGGACCGGCAAUGUGAGCAAGUUCACACAAGCAGAGUUAUGUUGGUAGUUCACUUAUAAGAAAUAAAUUAAAAUAUCAUAGCUAAUGUUGAUUAAGUUAGUCACUAUGCACCUAUUGCCUGUUCCAAUUUACAUUCAACAUUAAGUACGUUAGUAAUUUGACACAUCUAUAAUGAAGUGCACAAUACGUUGGUUAGAAGCAUAGUGAUAAGUCAGUGGCAAAAAAUUCAGUGUCAUAUUUAAAAAUAGUUUCUUUCAUUAAUAUCCUCGUCUUUUUAUGGGUUAGUGUUGGAGGGAUUUGGAGAAGUUGGGGUAGGGACUCCUGUUAUAUGAUGAGCUGGAAUUGACAAAAAUAGUAUUUUAUUUAUUUGUCUCAAUUUCAAUUAUCUUCCAUAUAGUUUUGGUUUUGUUCAUGUGUGUGAGAGAGAAUGAAAACUUCCGCAGAAGUGAUCUUGGCUAUAUAACUUUGUGACAACUUACAUUUUGCUCAAUUAGGUGUACAAAGGAGGUGGAGGGAAGUAAAAAAAGGAGGAUAUGGGUAUUUCUACCCAUAAAAAAAGGAUAGGGGUAUUUCCAAUGUCUAUUAAAGAAUUACCGGAGACAAGAGUGGGUUGCUCUAGUGGUGAGCACCCUCCACUUCCAACCAAGAGGUUGUGAGUUCGAGUCACCCCAAGAGCAAGGUGGGGAGUUCUUGGAGGGAAGGGAGCCGAGGGUCUAUCGGAAACAGCCUCUCUACCCCAGGGUAGAGGUAAGGUCUGCGUACAAACUACCCUUUUGUUGUUGUUAACGAAUUACUGGAGGAAUAUGCAAACUUUAAUUUAGUGUGUUGAAACCCUUCUUGACCGGAAAGGAAGGAGGAAGUAGGAAGAUGCUUGGAUAAGUUUAGAAGUUGGUCAAACUAGUUUUUAAGCACUUCUUGGCUUAUUUUGGUGUUUAGUAGACAAAACAAGUGCUUUUAAGCCAAAAGCCAUAAGUUGGUAAGUUGGACCACCCCAACUUAUGGCUUUUUAGCUUAAAAGAUCUUUGAGUUUGAUUGAGCAUUUUACUUUGUUAUCCCUCACGUUCUCCUAUAAUUCCCAAAAUACUCUUCGCUACACUAAUAAAAGCCCUAACUCCUCCCUGGAAGUGUGAGGAUUACCAAGUAAAAUGCUUCUCCAAGAGUUUUUAAGCUGAAAAGUCACAAGCUGGUCGUGCCCAACUUAUGGCUUUUGUCGUGUUUUGGUUUAAAAGCACUUGGCGUAGGAGCACUUUCGGUGCUUACCAAACACCACAAUAUGCCAAAAAUAUGCUUUAAAGCUUGUCAAGAAGUAUUCUUGGGGUACCCAAGCACCCUCUAAGGCUUGUGUAAAGAAUUAUUCGUUGUUUCUUUGCCCAGCAUUUCUCUCAACACUGUGGAUAAAAAAGUGAAGUGCUUCAAGUGCAUUCCUACAUCGGAUAUUUUAAUUACUUAUUCAAGAGAAUGAAAGAUGUUCAACUACAAUGUAAUUAUCCUUUUGAAAAUCCUUAAUCUACAAACGACCAGUACCUCUUCUAUUUGAUUAGGAUAUUGUAUAUGUGAUGGUAUUGUCCCUCAUCUGAAUUAGACAAUGAUUUUUGGCAUGUUCUCAUGUGCUGUGAACUUUCUUAUGUCUUUUGUGUUGAAAACUUGAAAUUAGAUGGACAACUUUCUUGUAAUUCCUUUCUUUUUGUAUUUGAUCUCUGGACGCAUUUGAGACUGCCUUUUCUUUUUUCUUUAUGUUUUUCAUUUUUGGGUAAUAUAUUUAUGUUGUGAGAUGCAUUUUUCAAGUGACCAUUAUCUUAAAUUUGUUACCAAAGGUUCUCUCAUAUUAUAUAUAACUAAUAAUCCAUAAUUGCAGGUCAUUUAAUGGAAAAGAUCGAAGCUGAAAAUUUGCUGCAUAGAGCUUUCAGUGUAUUUCUGUUUAACUCAAAAUAUGAAUUGCUUCUUCAGGUGGGUGGUAAAAAUAAUUCGCUGAAUUUUGCCUUUAGGUUUGACAAAUUUUCUCUGAAAUGGCUGAUAGAUGUAACUUGUCGAAUUGUUCUGUGGGUGAAAUGGUGGGAGUGUCCAGUAUGAUUCCAUCUUAGUAUUUAGAUAACCUAUCAAACUAAUUGACUAAGCUGUAGAACUGGUUUACAGUAGAUGUAUCUUAAUUCUUGGGUUGUAUGCGUAAUUUUAUAACUCUGAAUGAUGAAGCACUUAAUAUAUACUGUCUUAUUCUAUGUACAGCAACGAUCAGCAACAAAGGUGACCUUUCCUUUGGUAUGGACUAACACCUGCUGCAGCCAUCCACUCUACCGAGAGUCUGAGCUCAUUGAGGAGAAUGUUCUUGGUAUAUUUUCUGCUUAGCUAAAAUGUCUAAUUACAACCACGUUUUCUUCUUCACCUCACUCUGUAUCGUCAACUGCCAGGGGUAAGAAAUGCUGCACAAAGGAAGCUUCUUGACGAAUUGGGCAUUCCUGCUGAAGAUGUCCCAGUUGACCAGUUCACCCCAUUGGGUCGUAUACUUUAUAAAGCUCCAUCCGAUGGGAAGUGGGGAGAACAUGAACGUAAUAACUCAAUCUUCGUUAUUUUUAUCUUACAGUUCUAGCCUGGAAACUGGUUCUGUUCGUUACAUGCAAUUUUGAUUAUAACAGACAUGUGCUGCUUGCCUUUGAUCUCAUGCCCAGCUUUGACCGUAUCUUGAGAUUAAGUGUUUACUGUACAAUUGGCAUUUGUAUUGUAGAUAUAGCUAUAACUGGUAGCUGAUCCUUGUCUACUGUUGCAGUUGAUUAUCUUCUAUUCACGGUCCGUGAAGUUAACAUGAAACCGAACCCGGAUGAAGUUGCUGAUGUUAAAUACGUGAACCGAGAACAACUGAAAGAGCUCCUGAGGAAAGCAGAUGCUGGAGAGGAAGGUCUGAAGCUAUCCCCUUGGUUCAGACUUGUAGUUGACAACUUCUUGUUCAAGUGGUGGGAUCAUCUUGAGAAGGGAACCCUCGAGGAAGUCAUAGAUAUGAAAACCAUCCACAAAUUGACUUAAAAGGAGCUGCCUUGCGAUCUGGUUGGACCAUCUUAGUUCUUUCCCUAUAAACCAAUAACUUCAGUUGUGAUUUUCUGAAGGCAUAUUUCUGCAGUAUGUUUGUUGCUUUUUGUAGAAUUUGAAGGAGGUAUUUUUUUGACUGAUUGUACCUUGUAACAUAGCUGUGGCUUUCUGUCGAAACUCAAUAAGAUAGCUUCUUGUUUGGUGCUUGCAACUUUAAUAUUAUACCGGAUUGGUGUUCUUGGUUGCUCUAGUGGUGAUCACCCUCUGCUUCCAACCAAGAGGUUGUGAGUUCGAGUCACCCAAGAGCAAUGUGGGGAGUUCUUGGAGGGAGGGAGCCAAGGGUCUAUCGAAAACAGCCUCUCUACCCUAGGGUAGAGGUAAGGUCUGCGUACAAACUACCCUCCCCAGACCCCAUUAGUGGGAUUAUACUGGAUUGUUGUUGUUGUCUAGAACGCAUCCCUCGGGAAGACAGUUUUUAAAAGCGACAGAAAUUUUGAGAUCUUUCGUAUACUUAUGUACCAAUAAAUAUUGAUGAAAAAGCACGAUACUGAUGAGUACAUGUUUUUAAGUCAUGUAAAUUACAAGAGAUAAAGUAAGCGUUUGCAACUCUGAGUGUGCAAUUAGUUCAGCAAAAUGUCCUGAUUGUGUCCAAAAUUGACCUUGUAAAUUUAAAUCUAUAAGAAAAACUUGACUGUCGAACAGAACAAGAUCCAGGUAUGUAUGAUAAAGCCUAAACAACUACUUAAACAGCACUCUGUCUUGUAACUAAUGCUAUAACGAGCAGUCUAUCCUUGAGUUUCACUUCUAAAAAUCUUCAACUCCUGGCAUGUCACUCGCUUGACUCAGCUGUAUCCUCCCUAGUCACAGAAAUGCUUGAUGCAGAAUCAUCCGCCAACUCUGGCGAGACACUCUGUUGAAGCAUUGCCUUCCUCUUUCUUCUGCUCUGGCGCAAUCUUCUUACUGACUCCGACACAUCACUUUCUUCUCGAGCUUUCUCUUGUGGUUCUUCCGAUGCUUCGACUAUUAAAUUCUCAUCAACGUGUGUCCUAAAGCUUGUUGCGAUCACUGGAAAUACGAGCGGUCUACACCAGUUGAGGAGAAUUAUGAGCAGAGUAAUGAACAUAUACAUCGAGGUCCAAACUGAGAAUGUCCAUUUCCACUUGUACGCCAAGUCUUUAUACCAAGGAGGAUGAGACUUCAAUAUGAUCUCCGAUUGAUAAAGCUGGGGCAGGGCUAAAGUUCCAGCUCGAGGUAUCAUAGUUAUUCUGAUUGCCUCUGUCCUCGGAGUACCUUCCUUGUGCUUUAACAUUGGAAUGAUCAUCCUUUGUGUUUCAGCUGUAAGUCCAAGUACAAGGGGCACACUCAUUAUAAAUUCUCUCAUGAGACGGAUUGGCAGGCUUCUGAAUCGCAACAUACAUGGAUGACUUGAUCUUGCCAUUAUGAUCCCCUCGGCUGAUAACGCUUCUGAAACCAACUGAUAAGAGAGUUAUGAAUAGCUAAAGUAAUGUUAGAUGUUUGACAGCUCUUUUGUUCUUUAGCUAGAGAGAUAGGCAAUUGAUACUUCCACAUCUAAUGUAAUGAAAAUACAGAUUUGAAGUAUUCUACAGAUAAUAACAGCGGAAUAACUUAAUUACGCGUAUAUGACCUUAAUACAUGCACCUAGAAGAGGAAUUUAAUCUUUUCAAGAAUUUAACUGUGUUAUUGCUAUUGGGAAAACGCACUCCCGAUAGUAUAUAAUUGUCUUUCACUGUUAGUGUAAGUUAAUAUGUGAUAACAAGUUGAUUAUUUUUUUUACCAGGUUCUCAAUUAAAGCCUAUCAUACGAAAUUUACUAUUGUUAACACUGUCAAUAGACUCAUUGCUAGUGACAUAAAUAAAGCUAACCAAAAAUUGAUGUGCAUUGAGUACCUAACAAUGUCCAAUACUUUGACUCCACAUCCUUUAAUGGAAGAGUAUUGAAAAGAAAAGUUAAUACACUAUAUAAUAACUAUUCACUAUAAAAGUCAAAGUUUUUUAUGGAACUAAUUUUUAGGCUAUAUUAUAAUAUAUGUUCUCCAUAACAGCACUUAGCUAUAAGUGCGAAAAAAAUCCAGAGCGUAAAGUUUCUAAACUAUGACAAUGAUCCCUGAUUUCCUUCCUAUAACCAACGAGUAGUCAUUCAUUAUAUCAAUUUAACAUUUAUGGACUUCAAUAUCACUUUUUUCCCACUCAUGAUUCAAGUGUAAUGACUCUCAAGACAUUGGAACAAUCUUUAGUCCAUCAUCAAGAAACUACACAUGUUUGUUUGAUAGGCUAUUGAGUAAUAUUAUCAAGUUUGUAUCCUACUCACAAAUCGAAUGAAUGUUCAUCCAAUAUUAUACCAGGAAAACACCAAUAUCUCUGUUGAAAUCAGAUUCAGGCAUCAGUAGAAACAAAGAAACAUACAUUGUAUGUCCAACUGGCACACCAAAAUUCUUCUUCUGCUUCAUCAUCAUAAAAUUAUGAUUAUAAUUCUCCACACCAUAUUCAGCAAAAGAAAACACAGCUUUUGGAUGAAUAUCUGCAUAAUCAAAAUAGAGCUGCUCUCUCAAUACCACAGGCUCUUCAGCCAACAUUCUCACUAACCCAAAUCCCAAAACCCCCGACAAAAUCAACAACGUUGUCAAAACCAUUCCAACAUAAGCAGCUCCAAGAAUUCNNNNNNNNNNNNNNNNNNNNNNNNNNNNNNNNNNNNNNNNNNNNNNNNNNNNNNNNNNNNNNNNNNNNNNNNNNNNNNNNNNNNNNNNNNNNNNNNNNNNNNNNNNNNNNNNNNNNNNNNNNNNNNNNNNNNNNNNNNNNNNNNNNNNNNNNNNNNNNNNNNNNNNNNNNNNNNNNNNNNNNNNNNNNNNNNNNNNNNNNNNNNNNNNNNNNNNNNNNNNNNNNNNNNNNNNNNNNNNNNNNNNNNNNNNNNNNNNNNNNNNNNNNNNNNNNNNNNNNNNNNNNNNNNNNNNNNNNNNNNNNNNNNNNNNNNNNNNNNNNNNNNNNNNNNNNNNNNNNNNNNNNNNNNNNNNNNNNNNNNNNNNNUUCUUCAACUCGGCUUUCCUUUUGGGAUUUGGCAUUUUACUGCAGCUGAGUGACAGAUUUUGUGCGAGAAGUCCAGGUGUGAAGUGCACAAGGAAGAAGGUGAGAAAAGUGGCAGUAAACUUAGCUCAGGAGUUGACAAGUGUUAUGGAAACAAACGCUUGUUUUUUUAAUGGGAAGAUGAAAUAAUAUUUGGAAAUUUGGGAAAAGGAAAGGAGAAAUUCAAAACUUUCUCAUGAAAAAAAGAAAAGGAGUGCAUUUGGUUAAAAUUUCAAAAUGGGGGAUUUGCCUCUCUUGAAUUCCAUUGACUGCACACACUUUUUUUUGCCUCCCUUUGUUGUGUUCUCGUUUAACAAAUCAGAAGUCAUUGUGUAUAUUUAACCAAAUCAGAAUCCGAUGUUUUAUAUCAUCUAUGGCUACUCUUAUCCAUAGAUUUAAGAAAUAUUUUCAUAAAAGUGUUUACUACAAUUUAAUUAUAUUAUUUUAACUCCAACUUAAAACAGUGAAUUUGUGUUUAGAAAAAGUUAUUUUAAAAUUAUUCCAAGUUAAAUAGAAGUAAGAUUAUGGCUAACAAAUUUCAAUCAUAUUUAAAAGUUAAAUCCGAAGGCAAACUUCAAAUACCCUUUGUCAACCUCAAUUUUAAGUACUUCCUCUUUAUUCUCAACUACAAUCAAAUACUGUCCAAACCUUUAAUAUUAUGGCAUGAAUGGUCAUUGAUCAUACCUAUUGUAAUAUGUCAAAUAUUAUGGUAAUAAAAUUAUUAUAGGACAAAUGUAAUGGAAGCAACAUAUCUUGACUAUAAUAAUUUUGAUCAUGACCAUAUGGUAUAACUUUCUCCUUGAAAGAGAUAUUUACCAUAUGGAUGUUGAUGAAUAUGUGGAAGUACAAUAUUAGUUGAGAGCUUUGGAAUAGCCAAUUAUACUAUUUAAGAGAAAUAAAAUUGAUUAUCAAUAAGGUAUUGUGUCGUAGUAAGUCUCAAAAAAACUUAUUGACUAAAGUAUUCGCGAAAGCGGUUGGUUAUAUUGAGACUAUAAAUAAAGAAAAAAUUUAAUAUCUUCUAUUACUACAACCUGUGAUGGGGUCAUAUAAAUGUGAAAAAAUAACCGCUUUAUUCUCCAGUUUGUACUAUACAAAUAAAAGAAUGCCACAAUAAAACAGAAAUUUAUUGAUAUAAAAAUUCAUAUCAUAAUAAACUUGGAGUUUAUUGAUAAUUACGCACGUCAUGGUGUAAACCUAAAGUUUAUCAAUAUUAAUAAUUUAUUCAGUUGGCAUAAUUAGUUUAGUUAUGUCAAUUUUAAGUAUAAUGUGCAAAAAUAAAGAGAAUUCACAUGGGUAAAUGUUAAAGAACCGGAAAGUUCUUUACGAAUUCUCUUAUGUUGUUUGUUCUCGUUAAUUAAUAGACCAACUAAAAUUGGAAUUGAAUCCCAUGAAUGUUGGAAAUAUCAAAGGUAAAUGUGGGCUCAUUCACCUGCCAUGUAUACCACAUUAAAUGCAUCUAUGAGAUUGGUUACAUGUGUGAUUAUUAUUAACUCGUAACCUGGUGUUUGCGAGGUAACUUGCUCAAUAAUUUAAUUUAGAGCAUAAUUUUCAGAUUUUCUAUUCAAGACAGUUCAUCUUAAUAGGUUGGUUUACAUCACAGUUGGUUUAGCAAAAUGAUUUAUCGAGUGCCCCCACUUAAUAGCUAAACUAUUGUUUAUGGGAAUAAAGUAAUCCAUAUUAGUUUGAUAUACGUUAUAUACAAAAGUGUAUUACAUUCUCCCCUAUCAAGUGGUUCAGGGUCAGGAACCAAAUAAUUCUAUUUUAUUAUUAUUAAUAUGCGGUGUAUACUUUGAUUAAUUGCAUAGCACACAAAGGUGGGUUUCCAAAAGUUGAGGAAGCAAGUUAAUUUUUCUAACAUGAGGGGGAGACAUGAUAAACAGUUGAGAAAAAAGUUGCGUGGAAUGAAUGAUCAUUGUACAUCUAGAUCCUAGAAUAAGAUAAUAUGAACUUGAAAUUCAUAAAAAGAUAAUUCAUCUGCAAUAUAUUGUAAAGUGUCAUGACCCAAAAUCUAACUAGUCGUGAUGACACCUAACCCCAACCCGCUAGGUAAGCCAAUUAACAGCUAUCAAAAUUAAUGAGAUUUAUUGAGAAAUGUAAUGAUAAUAUAACUGAACUUCUAUACAAAGAAUUCCCAAGGACUGGUAGUACAAAUCAUGAGCUUAUAAGAUUUAGAGUUUACAAAGCUAGUAUGAAAUAAAUACAUCAUCUGUUUGAAAUAUACAUGAAUAGAUUAAUAAUUCUAAAGCUACCAAGAACAAGUAGCAGCUACGACUCGAAACGCAGGUACGUCUUCAAAUCCAACUCCCGACGUACGCAGCAAUAUAAGCAUCCAAAAUCUGCACGCAAGGUGCAAAAGUGUAGUAUGAGUACAAUCGACCCCAUGUACUCAAUAAGUAACAAACCUAACCUUAGGUUGAAAGUAGUGGCGAGUUGGGACAAGGGUCAGAGUCCAACUCUAAUAACCAGCAACAGUUCAUAACAAUAUAAUAAAAUGAUACACGAAGUAACUCAGAGAUAUGAUGCUCAACUCAUUCACAGCUACGGAAAAUAGGCAUGCUUUUCAAGUAUAACAGUAAAUCCCAAAUCUUCCACCGAAAAUACCAAAAAUGUGAGUAAGUUUAAAAACUGUCAUUUUUUCCAAAGCUUUCAACAGGUAAAUGUUUCAUUUUCAAAUGGCACGAGAAAAAUACAUCUCUAUGCCUACAUGUUAAUAUGUAUGAGAAGUCAUGAAUGACGUGAUACCAUACAGCAUGAGGAAAAUGCAUCUCUAUACCUGUAUGUCAAGUGUGCAUGUAGAAUGAGAUGCAACUCAGUGAUAAAACCAUAUGCAUACUCUCAGAGUAUCAAUUCACCCAGUCCUCCCAGUCACUCAUUCCUAACAGUCACUCAGUCCUCACAGACAUUCAAUCCUCCCAAUCACUCGCCACUCGCGCUUGAUAGGUACCUGCACUCACUGGGGGUGUGUGUACAGACUCCGGAGGGGCUCCUUCAGCCCAAGCGCUAUAAUAAGCCAAUCAUGGCAUAAAUCAAAAUAACAUGUUGUGGCGUGCAGCCCGCUCCCAUAAAUAUCACUCACAAACAGACCAUCGGCCUCACUCAGUCAUCAAUCUCUACAAUCUCCCGGGCUCACAAUGUCAUGAAAGAUCAGCCCAAAAAUAAUGAUAUGAUAUAUCAAUCAGUGGUAAUAGAGACUGAGAUAUGAUAUGUAGAAUGCGUAUGGCUGAGUAUGUAAUUUCAAUAUAAACAGAUAACUCAACAACAAAAAUGACCUCAGUGGGUCCCAACAGGAUAAAUAUAUAGCCUAGACAUGAUUUCUAACAUGGAUUACAGCUCAAUAGCUCUAGUACGUAGAGAUUUCAUGAUUACAGAUAAGAUCAGGUAACUACACAGUACCACAACAAACAAUGGAGUCACAAUUCGUACGGUGCACGCCCAUACGCCUAUCACCUAGUAUGUGCGUCACUUUUACACCAAACACAUAACACGUAUAUUCAGGGUUCAUACCCUCAACACCAAGUUUAGAAGUGUUACUUACUUCGAACAAACCAAAUUCAAUACCGAGCAAGCCAAAUGAUGCUCCAAAAAUGCUAUCCCGCGUGUACCGAUCUCCGAACGGCUCGAAACUAGCCAAAAGCAACUCAAAUACAUCAAAUAGUGCCCAAGAAAACAAACCCAAUCGAUAAAGGUUGAAUCUUUAAUCAAAAGCUCAAAGUCAACCAAAAAGUCAAACCCAUGCCCGUACCUCAAAAUUCGAUGAAACUCAUAAAAUCUGAUAACUCAUUCAAUUACGAGUCCAACCAUACUAGUUUCACUCAAAUUCGACUCCGAAUCGAUAUUAAAAACUCAAAAAUUUACUUUAUAAAUUUUUAGACAAAACGCCCCAAAUUUUACUUUGAAAUCAUCAAUCAAAUAUCAAGAACGAAGAUGGAUUCAUAAAAUAUAAUCAAAACUGAGUAUAGAACACUUACCUCAAUUCAUGUGGUAAAAAUCGCCUCCAAAAUUGCCCAAAUUCGAGCUCCCCAACUCAAAAUAUGACCAAAUGAACAAACCCCCGAUAUUAUAUAUUUUUGCCCAGCUGUUCUAUCUCGUUUCUCAUGACAAAUGAUCCCGAAACUUGCUUUUUAUGCUUUCAAUAGAUUUUUUGUAAAAUUUCAGUCAAGUUAGGCUUUUGAAUCACUCCAUUUGACGUUAUAAUGAAGGAGAUAUGUUGAUUUAAAUAUUUGAAAAUAGUGCAGAUUUUUAAAUACGAAUUCAGUGACAAUUUCGUAAUUAAUCUAAAAAUAAUUGGCUAGCCAAUUCUUAGUAAAAUGACCAUAAAUUACUUAUAAGAUGUCGAAACUUGACGAUUCCAGUUGCCAUGGUUCCAAAAUUACCAUACGGAUCUAAUGCUUCAAUCAAAACAGAAAUUAGAGCUCAUUUGCUUAAUGUGAUGCUAUUUAUGCUUGAAGAAACGACGUCGAAACAUCAAAACGAGCACAACACAACCCAAACCUAUCCGAAACUCACUCGAGCCCCCCGGGACCCCAUACGAACAUACCAAUAAGUCCCAUAACAUAACACGAACUUACUCGAGGCCUCAAAUCACGCAUAACAACAUCAAAAACCACGAAUCGCACCUCAAAUCGAACUUAAUGAACUUUGAAUCUAUCAACUUCCAAAACUCGUGCUGAACCUUAUCAAAUCAACUUGGAAUGAAAUCAACUUGAAGAAAUGACGUCGAAACAUCAAAACGAGCACAACACAACCUAAACCUAUCCGAAACUCACUCGAGCCCCCCGGGACCCCAUACGAACAUACCAAUAAGUCCCAUAACAUAACACGAACUUACUCAAGGCCUCAAAUCACACAUAACAACAUCAAAAACCACGAAUCGCACCUCAAAUCGAACUUAAUGAACUUUGAAUCUAUCAACUUCCAAAACUCGUGUUGAACCUUAUCAAAUCAACUUGGAAUGAACUCAAAUUUUGCACACAAGUUUUAAAUAAUAUAACGAAGCUAUUCCAGCCCCGAAACUACAAUUAGAACCCGAUAUCAUCAAAGUUAACUCCCGGUCAAACUUAUGAACAUUCCUAACCUUCAAAUUUUUAACUUUCGCCAAAUAGAGCCGAAACCUUCUAGAAAUAUCCAAAUACAAAUUCAGGCAUAUGCCCAAGUCCAAAAUUACCAUUCGAACAUAACUGAACAAUCAAAACUCUGAUCCGAAGUCAAAUGCUAAAAAGUCAAACUUGGUCAACUCUUCCAACUUAAAGCUUCAAUCAUGACGUUCAUUAUUCCAAAUCGAUUCCGAAUAAUCUGAAAAUCAAAACUGACGAUUCAUACAAGUCACAAUACAUUAUACGAUACUGCUCAAGACUUCAAAUAGCUGGACGGAAUGCAAAUUCUCAAAACGACCGGUCAGGUCGUUACAGCAUGCUAGAGGCAUUUGUUGACCCAAAGAAAGUAACUAUAUUCUAACUGCAAAUGAUCCUAUCUAGAAGGACAAAGUCUAUGGUAGGCUUAAAGCNNNNNNNNNNNNNNNNNNNNNNNNNNNNNNNNNNNNNNNNNNNNNNNNNNNNNNNNNNNNNNNNNNNNNNNNNNNNNNNNNNNNNNNNNNNNNNNNNNNNNNNNNNNNNNNNNNNNNNNNNNNNNNNNNNNNNNNNNNNNNNNNNNNNNNNNNNNNNNNNNNNNNNNNNNNNNNNNNNNNNNNNNNNNNNNNNNNNNNNNNNNNNNNNNNNNNNNNNNNNNNNNNNNNNNNNNNNNNNNNNNNNNNNNNNNNNNNNNNNNNNNNNNNNNNNNNNNNNNNNNNNNNNNNNNNNNNNNNNNNNNNNNNNNNNNNNNNNNNNNNNNNNNNNNNNNNNNNNNNNNNNNNNNNNNNNNNNNNNNNNNNNNNNNNNNNNNNNNNNNNNNNNNNNNNNNNNNNNNNNNNNNNNNNNNNNNNNNNNNNNNNNNNNNNNNNNNNNNNNNNNNNNNNNNNNNNNNNNNNNNNNNNNNNNNNNNNNNNNNNNNNNNNNNNNNNNNNNNNNNNNNNNNNNNNNNNNNNNNNNNNNNNNNNNNNNNNNNNNNNNNNNNNNNNNNNNNNNNNNNNNNNNNNNNGUAUAGACAAAUCAGUUUCAAAUAAAAUUCUUGAUAAAUAAGAUGAGUAAAUGAUCAAAAUGAUCAUAAUAAGGAAUCAAGCGAUCUAGAAGAUCACAUGACAUAACACUUCAUAAAAUCUCAGGAGAGGUUCAGGUACCUGAAAAUAUGAAUGAAGAGAUCUCUACGUUAUGUCUUUAUGAAAAAAGGAGGUUGGAAAAGAUCGAAGCUGAAAAUUUGCUGCAUAGAGCUUUCAGUGUAUUUCUGUUUAACUCAAAAUAUGAAUUGCUUCUUCAGGUGGGUGGUAAAAAUAAUUCGCUGAAUUUUGCCUUUAGGUUUGACAAAUUUUCUCUGAAAUGGCUGAUAGAUGUAACUUGUCGAAUUGUUCUGUGGGUGAAAUGGUGGGAGUGUCCAGUAUGAUUCCAUCUUAGUAUUUAGAUAACCUAUCAAACUAAUUGACUAAGCUGUAGAACUGGUUUACAGUAGAUGUAUCUUAAUUCUUGGGUUGUAUGCGUAAUUUUAUAACUCUGAAUGAUGAAGCACUUAAUAUAUACUGUCUUAUUCUAUGUACAGCAACGAUCAGCAACAAAGGUGACCUUUCCUUUGGUAUGGACUAACACCUGCUGCAGCCAUCCACUCUACCGAGAGUCUGAGCUCAUUGAGGAGAAUGUUCUUGGUAUAUUUUCUGCUUAGCUGAAAUGUCUAAUUACAACCAUGUUUUCUUCUUCACCUCACUCUAUAUCGUCAACUGCCAGGGGUAAGAAAUGCUGCACAAAGGAAGCUUCUUGACGAAUUGGGCAUUCCUGCUGAAGAUGUCCCAGUUGACCAGUUCACCCCAUUGGGUCGUAUACUUUAUAAAGCUCCAUCCGAUGGGAAGUGGGGAGAACAUGAACGUAAUAACUCAAUCUUCGUUAUUUUUAUCUUACAGUUCUAGCCUGGAAACUGGUUCUGUUCGUUACAUGCAAUUUUGAUUAUAACAGACAUGUGCUGCUUGCCUUUGAUCUCAUGCCCAGCUUUGACCGUAUCUUGCGAUUAAAUGUUUACUGUACAAUUGGCAUUUGUAUUGUAGAUAUAGCUACAACUGGUAGCUGAUCCUUGUCUACUGUUGCAGUUGAUUAUCUUCUAUUCACGGUCCGUGAAGUUAACAUGAAACCAAACCCGGAUGAAGUUGCUGAUGUUAAAUACGUGAACCGAGAACAACUGAAAGAGCUCCUAAGGAAAGCAGAUGCUGGAGAGGAAGGUCUGAAGCUAUCCCCUUGGUUCAGACUUGUAGUUGACAACUUCUUGUUCAAGUGGUGGGAUCAUCUUGAGAAGGGAACUCUCGAGGAAGUCAGAGAUAUGAAAACCAUCCACAAAUUGACUUAAAAGGAGCUGCCUUGCGAUCUGGUUGGACCAUCUUAGUUCUUUCCCUAUAAACCAAUAACUUCAGUUGUGAUUUUCUGAAGGCAUAUUUCUGCAGUAUGUUUGUUGCUUUUUGUAGAAUUUGAAGGAGGUAUAUUUUUGACUGAUUGUACCUUGUAACAUAGCUGUGGCUUUCUGUCGAAACUCAAUAAGAUAGCUUCUUGUUUGGUGCUUGCAACUUUAAUAUUAAA
This 36984-nucleotide long non-coding RNA is filed under the name Nicotiana tabacum (common tobacco). RNAcentral's name for it is "long non-coding RNA (NTAB_LNC004640)". Lineage: Eukaryota; Viridiplantae; Streptophyta; Magnoliopsida; Solanales; Solanaceae. The record is from RNAcentral.